UUGAUUGAAUAUUAAAUAGUAUUUACAAUCCAGGUUGAGGUUCUACUAAUUCCAUUCAUUGAUUUAAACUUUUUUGGGUCAAAUGUCUUAGAAUUAAGAAGGAAACAGGAGAAUACACCACCACCUCCCACAAAAUGUUGAAUGAAAAAUAAUUGUAGAGUUAGUCAAGGUAUCAAAUUCGAUCCAAAAAUUUAAACCUCAAUGAUCAAGAAAUUCAUAUUGUAUCCAUAAUACAGUUCAAAAUAAACUUGGAAAAGCUCACUAGCACGUGAUAAUAAAAAUAACAUCCAAAAAGUCUCAAGAAAUGAACAAAGCUUUUCAAAGAGACAUUCUUCAGCCGAAUUAACUACUCAAGCAGUGGCAGGCAAAAAUGCUCUUCCAGGUUGACGUUUUGCCAAGGGUCCAUGACAUCCAAGAAGCUACAAGAAAGGAAAGACACAACCAAUGUUUAGCUUUUCUUAAACUUGUUACAGAAUAUGGGAUGAUUAAGAAACAUUUAAUUCACACACUACCGGUUCACAGUUAAUAAUCAUAUCCAAACAAAAUGAACAGUGAAACUUGUACCUUAGCGUUGACACCAUCUGGUACAAUGCGAUUCUCAGACUUCAACUUCACAUAAUCAGUUCUGUUGAAUUUGGUGAAGCCCCUACACAUUACAGGUGUCAGACUAGGUAAGUUACUAUAGCAAAACUGCUGAUAUCAUCAAUAGCUACACCUAAAGCCAAUUCCAAUAAAUAAAUAAAAUAAAGUAAGCUUCAAGAGGACUCGAGAAAUAGUGUAUCCCCACCAAGCAAUAAUUUUAAAACCAAUGGAAGAAGCCUGGAUAUAUAGUUUAGUAAGCAAAAGUCCUCUUUUUAUGACUCUGUAAAACAGUGUAAAUGGUGAAAGAAAACUUAGGCCAUGAAACUUCUCUUUAAAUGAUGAUACAAAACACAGGUCAGCUACUUGCCAAAACACAAUAGAUAAAAUGUAAUUUUGAUAAUCCAGAUUGUGAACAAAUCAUUCCAUGCACAAAUAAUGAGGUGGCACAAAAGUUAUGAUAGAUUCCUAAAAACAUAAAUAACAAAUAAACAUGGAAAAAAAAAAGAAAGGAAAAAAGAUGAAAAACAUACCAUUUCCUGCUGACAAUGAUCUUUUGG
RNAcentral lists this unclassified non-coding RNA (1139 nucleotides) under Hevea brasiliensis (rubber tree). Lineage: Eukaryota; Viridiplantae; Streptophyta; Magnoliopsida; Malpighiales; Euphorbiaceae. The record is from RNAcentral.